AGAUUAAGUUAUUAAGGGCGCACGGUGGAUGCCUUGGCACUAGAAGCCGAUGAAGGACGUUACUAACGACGAUAUGCUUUGGGGAGCUGUAAGUAAGCGUUGAUCCAGAGAUUUCCGAAUGGGGAAACCCAGCAUGAGUUAUGUCAUGUUAUCGAUAUGUGAAUACAUAGCAUAUCAGAAGGCAGACCCGGAGAACUGAAACAUCUUAGUACCCGGAGGAAGAGAAAGAAAAAUCGAUUCCCUGAGUAGCGGCGAGCGAAACGGGAAGAGCCCAAACCAACAAGCUUGCUUGUUGGGGUUGUAGGACACUCUAUACGGAGUUACAAAAGUAUAUAUUAGACGAAUCAUCUGGAAAGUUGAAUCAAAGAAGGUAAUAAUCCUGUAGUCGAAAAUAUAUACUCUCUUGAGUGGAUCCUGAGUACGACGGAGCACGUGAAAUUCCGUCGGAAUCUGGGAGGACCAUCUCCUAAGGCUAAAUACUCUCUAGUGACCGAUAGUGAACCAGUACCGUGAGGGAAAGGUGAAAAGUACCCCGGAAGGGGAGUGAAAGAGAACUUGAAACCGUGUGCUUACAAGUAGUCAGAGCCCGUUAAUGGGUGAUGGCGUGCCUUUUGUAGAAUGAACCGGCGAGUUACGAUUUGAUGCAAGGUUAAGCAGCUAAU
Molecule: ribosomal RNA, 662 nt
Filed under: Salmonella enterica subsp. enterica serovar Typhimurium
Lineage: Bacteria; Pseudomonadati; Pseudomonadota; Gammaproteobacteria; Enterobacterales; Enterobacteriaceae
Description: partial 23S ribosomal RNA
Rfam family: Bacterial large subunit ribosomal RNA
Source: RNAcentral